UAGUGUUUUAGUUGCGUACAAA
RNAcentral lists this microRNA (22 nucleotides) under Pristionchus pacificus. Its description in RNAcentral is "ppc-miR-8299-5p". Lineage: Eukaryota; Metazoa; Nematoda; Chromadorea; Rhabditida; Neodiplogasteridae. The record is from miRBase by way of RNAcentral.